RNAcentral lists this ribosomal RNA (274 nucleotides) under uncultured bacterium. Its description in RNAcentral is "partial 16S ribosomal RNA". It matches the Rfam family "Bacterial small subunit ribosomal RNA", at positions 523 to 796 of the family's 1533-position model. The record is from RNAcentral.
AUACGGAGGGGGUUAGCGUUGUUCGGAAUUACUGGGCGUAAAGCGUACGUAGGCGGACUGGAAAGUUGGGGGUGAAAUCCCGGGGCUCAACCCCGGAACUGCCUCCAAAACUUCCAAUCUAGAGAUCGAGAGAGGUGAGUGGAAUUCCAAGUGUAGAGGUGAAAUUCGUAGAUAUUUGGAGGAACACCAGUGGCGAAGGCGGCUCACUGGCUCGAUACUGACGCUGAGGUACGAAAGCGUGGGGAGCAAACAGGAUUAGAUACCCCAGUAGUCC